Prosopis cineraria is the source of this 722-nucleotide RNA transcript. RefSeq lists it as uncharacterized. The record is from RefSeq and is a predicted model, not a curated record. The transcript has 2 exons. Lineage: Eukaryota; Viridiplantae; Streptophyta; Magnoliopsida; Fabales; Fabaceae.
ACUAGGGGUAGGGGGAAAGAGGGGAAACGAAAAAAAAAAAAAAACGUGGCUAAAUUCGGACCAUUUACGCAUUCACGGGGCUAGGGUUCUUCACCUGCGAUUCCAACCUCUUCAAUCCAUCGGAUACAAUGGCGAUGAGAAACUUCUACCAUGAGAUCAAAGGUAUGAGGGUGAAGGAUCUGCCCCAACAUGUGAAGCCACUGUUGUCCGUCGACUACGUCAAGAAGGCUGUUCGGAGAGGAUUGGAUAACUAUCGCGCCAAGUACAUAGAAACCGACUCCAUCCAGCCGCUCUAUCAUGUUUGCUUUGGAGGCAUGAUCUUCUCCUACCUCGUCGCCCUCCCCCAUGAACGCCGCCACCUUGAGCAUCUGGAACACGAAAAGCAGCAUGGUCACGGUGGACACUGAUUUUAUCCGUCGUCUAUUGCUUCAGGUGUGCGUCUCCAUGAAUUUCAAACGGAUCCUGUUUGUUGAAUGGGAGGUGGUCGUCUUGCUUAAUUUUCUUUUGGUUUUAGAAUCAGGGAAAUCAGGGCUGAAAGAUGCUGUCACCUUCAAUGUAUGACAUCUUUUAGAUGAUUAAAUAAGAUCUAUUUGAUACAGUGAUUCAGUUUUCCUGCUCCAAAAUGUCAAUGCAAUGUGUGGCAUAAGACUAUAACUUUGGUUUUGCUUGUGGCCUCAUGUUCUGUUAACGAGAGGACAUUAUCUUGCUGUUACUUUACACAA